Molecule: long non-coding RNA, 279 nt
Filed under: Lathyrus oleraceus (garden pea)
Lineage: Eukaryota; Viridiplantae; Streptophyta; Magnoliopsida; Fabales; Fabaceae
Description: Pisum sativum (pea) long non-coding RNA (PSAT_LNC026555)
Source: RNAcentral
AACCUUUAAGUUUGGGGUAGCUGUGCUUAGUACAAACGAGGGCACCUGAUGAUUGAAAAAAAACAAAAAGAAAAAGAAAAGAAAAGAUGAAAGUUUGAAAAAUCAAAUUAAAAUGAAUAAAAGAAAAAUAAUCACCAGGGCACUUGAAAGAAGGAGAAGUCUGCGGAUAUUGAGAAUAAAGACAAAUCCAAAAGUUGAAUCCUCGAUAAAGUUAAUCCAUCAGAAUGAGCAUAGUUAAGAUAAUGAUCGUAUUAACUAUGAACCUUAGCCUACUUUUAC